RNAcentral lists this ribosomal RNA (414 nucleotides) under uncultured bacterium. Its description in RNAcentral is "bacterial SSU rRNA". It matches the Rfam family "Bacterial small subunit ribosomal RNA", at positions 355 to 775 of the family's 1533-position model. The record is from RNAcentral.
UCGAGGAUCUUCGGCAAUGGGCGCAAGCCUGACCGAGCGACGCCGCGUGUGCGAUGAAGGCCUUCGGGUUGUAAAGCACUGUCGAGGGGGAGGAAGCUCCGCAAGGAGUUGACCUAUCCCUGGAGGAAGCACGGGCUAAGUUCGUGCCAGCAGCCGCGGUAAGACGAACCGUGCGAACGUUGUUCGGAAUCACUGGGCUUAAAGGGCGCGUAGGCGGGCUAUAAAGUCAGUGGUGAAAUCCUUCAGCUCAACUGGAGAAGUGCCGCUGAUACUGAUAGUCUCGAGGGAGGUAGGGGUCGAUGGAACUAAUGGUGGAGCGGUGAAAUGCGUAGAUAUCAUUAGGAACGCCGGUGGCGAAAGCGAUCGACUGGACCUCUUCUGACGCUGAGGCGCGAAAGCUAGGGGAGCAAACGG